AGAGUUUGAUCAUGGCUCAGAUUGAACGCUGGCGGCGUGCCUAACACAUGCAAGUCGAGCGGUAACAGGUGUAGCAAUACAUGCUGACGAGCGGCGAACGGGUGAGUAAUGCUUCGGAAUCUACCCAAUGGUGGGGAAUAACCAGCCGAAAGGUUGGCUAAUACCGCAUACGUCCUACGGGAGAAAGCAGGGGAUCGUAAGACCUUGCGCCAAUGGAUGAGCCGAAGUCGGAUUAGCUAGUUGGUAGGGUAACGGCCUACCAAGGCGACGAUCCGUAGCUGGUCUGAGAGGACGACCAGCCACACUGGGACUGAGACACGGCCCAGACUCCUACGGGAGGCAGCAGUGGGGAAUAUUGGACAAUGGGGGAAACCCUGAUCCAGCGACGCCGCGUGUGUGAAGAAGGCCUGCGGGUUGUAAAGCACUUUUAGUGGGGAUGAAAAGUUCAGGGCUAAUACCUCUGGAUCUUGACCUAACCCACAGAAAAAGCACCGGCUAACUCUGUGCCAGCAGCCGCGGUAAUACAGAGGGUGCAAGCGUUAAUCGGAAUUACUGGGCGUAAAGCGUGCGUAGACGGUUACAUAAGUCGGGUGUGAAAGCCCCGGGCUCAACCUGGGAAUUGCAUUCGAGACUGCGUAGCUAGGGUGCGGAAGAGGGAAGCGGAAUUUCCGGUGUAGCGGUGAAAUGCGUAGAUAUCGGAAGGAACACCAGUGGCGAAAGCGGCUUCCUGGUCCAGCACCGACGUUCAGGCACGAAAGCGUGGGGAGCAAACAGGAUUAGAUACCCUAGUAGUCC
Molecule: ribosomal RNA, 795 nt
Filed under: uncultured bacterium
Lineage: Bacteria
Description: bacterial SSU rRNA
Rfam family: Bacterial small subunit ribosomal RNA
Source: RNAcentral